CCGUAACUAUAACGGUCCUAAGGUAGCGAAAUUCCUUGUCGGGUAAGUUCCGACCUGCACGAAUGGCGUAAUGAUGGCCAGGCUGUCUCCACCCGAGACUCAGUGAAAUUGAACUCGCUGUGAAGAUGCAGUGUACCCGCGGCAAGACGGAAAGACCCCGUGAACCUUUACUAUAGCUUGACACUGAACACUGGUCCUUGAUGUGUAGGAUAGGUGGGAGGCUUUGAAGUGCGGACGCCAGUCUGCAUGGAGCCGCCCUUGAAAUACCACCCUUUAAUGGCUGGUGUUCUAACGUGGGCCCGUGAUCCGGGUUGCGGACAGUGUCUGGUGGGUAGUUUGACUGGGGCGGUCUCCUCCUAAAGAGUAACGGAGGAGCACGAAGGUCAGCUAAUCCUGGUCGGACAUCAGGAGGUUAGUGCAAUGGCAUAAGCUGGCUUGACUGCGAGCGUGACGGCGCGAGCAGGUGCGAAAGCAGGUCAUAGUGAUCCGGUGGUUCUGAAUGGAAGGGCCAUCGCUCAACGGAUAAAAGGUACUCCGGGGAUAACAGGCUGAUACCGCCCAAGAGUUCAUAUCGACGGCGGUGUUUGGCACCUCGAUGUCGGCUCAUCACAUCCUGGGGCUGAAGUAGGUCCCAAGGGUAUGGCUGUUCGCCAUUUAAAGUGGUACGCGAGCUGGGUUUAGAACGUCGUGAGACAGUUCGGUCCCUAUCUGCCGUGGGCGCUGGAGAACUGAGGGGGGCUGCUCCUAGUACGAGAGGACCGGAGUGGACGCAUCACUGGUGUUCGGGUUGUCAUGCCAAUGGCACUGCCCGGUAGCUAAAUGCGGAAGAGAUAAGUGCUGAAAGCAUCUAAGCACGAAACUUGCCCCGAGAUGAGUUCUCCCUGACUCCUUGAGAGUCCUGAAGGAACGUUGAAGACGACGACGUUGAUAGGCCGGGUGUGUAAGCGCAGCGAUGCGUUGAGCUAACCGGUACUAAUGAACCGUGAGGCUUAACCUU
RNAcentral lists this ribosomal RNA (997 nucleotides) under human gut metagenome. RNAcentral describes it as "bacterial LSU rRNA". It matches the Rfam family "Bacterial large subunit ribosomal RNA", at positions 1934 to 2925 of the family's 2925-position model. The record is from RNAcentral.